This 450-nucleotide ribosomal RNA is filed under the name uncultured bacterium. RNAcentral describes it as "bacterial SSU rRNA". It matches the Rfam family "Bacterial small subunit ribosomal RNA", at positions 354 to 796 of the family's 1533-position model. The record is from RNAcentral.
GUGGGGAAUAUUGGACAAUGGGCGAAAGCCUGAUCCAGCCAUGCCGCGUGUGUGAAGAAGGUCUUCGGAUUGUAAAGCACUUUAAGUUGGGAGGAAGGGCAGUAAGUUAAUACCUUGCUGUUUUGACGUUACCAACAGAAUAAGCACCGGCUAACUUCGUGCCAGCAGCCGCGGUAAUACGAAGGGUGCAAGCGUUAAUCGGAAUUACUGGGCGUAAAGCGCGCGUAGGUGGUUCAGUAAGUUGGAGGUGAAAUCCCCGGGCUCAACCUGGGAACUGCCUCCAAAACUACUGAGCUAGAGUACGGUAGAGGGUAGUGGAAUUUCCUGUGUAGCGGUGAAAUGCGUAGAUAUAGGAAGGAACACCAGUGGCGAAGGCGACUACCUGGACUGAUACUGACACUGAGGUGCGAAAGCGUGGGGAGCAAACAGGAUUAGAAACCCGAGUAGUCC